CCUACGGGUGGCAGCAGUGAGGAAUAUUGGUCAAUGGGCGCGAGCCUGAACCAGCCAAGUAGCGUGAAGGAUGACUGCCCUACGGGUUGUAAACUGCUUUUAUAAAGGAAUAAAGCGAGGUACGUGUGCUCUUUUGUAUGUACUUUAUGAAUAAGGAUCGGCUAACUCCGUGCCAGCAGCCGCGGUAAUACGGAGGAUCCGAGCGUUAUCCGGAUUUAUUGGGUUUAAAGGGUGCGUAGAUGGGUUGUUAAGUCAGUUGUGAAAGUUUGCGGCUCAACCGUAAAAUUGCAAUUGAUACUGGCAGCCUUGAGUGCAGUUGAGGUAGGCGGAAUGCGUGGUGUAGCGGUGAAAUGCUUAGAGAUCACGAAGAACUCCGAUUGCGAAGGCAGUUCACUGGACUGCAACUGACACUGAGGCUCGAAAGUGUGGGUAUCAAACAGGAUUAGAUACCCGGGUAGUC
Molecule: ribosomal RNA, 460 nt
Filed under: uncultured bacterium
Lineage: Bacteria
Description: partial 16S ribosomal RNA
Rfam family: Bacterial small subunit ribosomal RNA
Source: RNAcentral